UAGGGAAUCUUCGGCAAUGGGGGGAACCCUGACCGAGCAACGCCGCGUGAGUGAAGAAGGUUUUCGGAUCGUAAAGCUCUGUUGUUAAGGAAGAACGAGUGUGAGAAUGGAAAGUUCAUACUGUGACGGUACUUAACCAGAAAGGGACGGCUAACUACGUGCCAGCAGCCGCGGUAAUACGUAGGUCCCGAUCGUUGUCCGGAUUUAUUGGGCGUAAAGCGAGCGCAGGCGGUUAGAUAAGUCUGAAGUUAAAGGCAGUGGCUCAACCAUUGUAGGCUUUGGAAACUGUUUAACUUGAGUGCAGAAGGGGAGAGUGGAAUUCCAUGUGUAGCGGUGAAAUGCGUAGAUAUAUGGAGGAACACCAGUGGCGAAGGCGACUCUCUGGUCUGUAACUGACGCUUAGGCUCGAAAGCGUGGGUAGCAAACAGG
RNAcentral lists this ribosomal RNA (429 nucleotides) under Bacteroidota bacterium. RNAcentral describes it as "Bacteroidetes bacterium partial 16S ribosomal RNA". It matches the Rfam family "Bacterial small subunit ribosomal RNA", at positions 355 to 776 of the family's 1533-position model. Lineage: Bacteria; Pseudomonadati; Bacteroidota. The record is from RNAcentral.